This 380-nucleotide ribosomal RNA is filed under the name uncultured bacterium. RNAcentral's name for it is "bacterial SSU rRNA". It matches the Rfam family "Bacterial small subunit ribosomal RNA", at positions 992 to 1393 of the family's 1533-position model. The record is from RNAcentral.
AUCGCGGGACCGGAGACGGUCCUUUCAGUUCGGCUGGAUACCACACAGGUGCUGCAUGGCUGUCGUCAGCUCGUGUCGUGAGAUGUUCGGUUAAGUCCGGCAACGAGCGCAACCCACACUCUUAGUUGCCAUCAUUCAGUUGGGCACUCUAGGAGAACUGCCGGUGAUAAGCCGGAGGAAGGUGUGGAUGACGUCAAGUCCUCAUGGCCCUUACGGGUUGGGCUACACACGUGCUACAAUGGUGGUGACAAUGGGUUAAUCCCAAAAAGCCAUCUCAGUUCGGAUUGGGGUCUGCAACUCGACCCCAUGAAGUCGGAAUCGCUAGUAAUCGCGUAACAGCAUGACGCGGUGAAUACGUUCCCGGGCCUUGUACACACCGA